Molecule: non-coding RNA, 2397 nt
Organism: Dermacentor andersoni
Lineage: Eukaryota; Metazoa; Arthropoda; Arachnida; Ixodida; Ixodidae
Source: RefSeq, a predicted model, not a curated record
CUAAAGUCCAUAGACGCUUCAAGCCCUGCACUCUCCAAGUUCAAGAAAUGGCCACAGGGAAUGAAAAAAUCGUCCGCGCGCCGCUGCUAAUCAAACAGGCAUAGUAGAAGCACUCAAGGAAUGCCCGAGUUAGUUUCAAUAUUUCCCGCUAGGGGCGCCGUAAUGAGGGCAAUUUUUUUGCAAACUUUCUCCUGCAGUUACCGUAGCAUGUUUAUUACAUAAAAUAAGUCAUAAAAUUAUCAUUGCUAAUUAGAUAGUGUACUUUUUAUUAGUAAGUACAUUGUUUUUUGUUAUAAAAGCAAAUAGCGUUCAGCAUCACCAAUCUUUCUCGUGACCUCUGGCAUGGAUUUAAAAUUUUUACCGGUAUUUUCGAGUGCAUGGUGGCACGGAUUCAUUCGUUCGUACACUUAGACUGGUUGCUUCUUUCUUGCUAAAACUAGUUUAUUGCUCUUCGAUGUCUCGCUUUAUUUAACUUGGGGUGAAGUGACAUCCUUGCAAGCGGACAUGUAAGCCCGAAAGCUACGUUUCGGUCAUGCAUCUGCUGCAUCGAAACGGGAACCGUAUUCUGCGACUGAGGACAGCAGUACUGCAAGCCGCUCCCACGUUGGGACGGACAGGCCGAGCCUGCCGCCACAUCAUGGGCUCUCUGGACAGCCCAGAUUUGGUCCCUCGGAGCUUCGCAGUGAGGAGCACGGAUCGUCGCGGACCUGGUGGGACGUGUCCCAGGAUGAUCGAGAUGGCUUGACGCCUGCCUAUUCACGGAGACAGCCUGGUCAGCCCGCACAGGAGCAGCUGACGGUCCAGUUGGGCAGCCAUCCGGGGACCAGCGGGACGGCUGAUGGACGGACGGUCGGUCCGUCAGUCGCCGACGGACCGGCGGCUGACGGUCUGUCCUCUUGGCCGUGCCUGUGGCUGUGGUCCCGCCUGAGAGCACCAGCAUUGCCUUCGGCACAAUUUCGCUGGCUUCUGCCAGCAAAACUUUUCGCCUGCCACGACCGUCGAGCCUCCAGAGGGGUAGCCGUGCCUACCCGGUGCCAGGGCGUGGGUAGCCGACGUACCCGUACAAAGUCUUCGCACCGAACCACUUCAAGAAGACGCCGUACGCCAACAAAAGUGGUAAUAUAUUGCACGCCAUUGCAAGAUCCGGCACUCACUUCAUCAGCCAGCGUGAUUUUCAUGGCUGCAAGUGGCGUACCCGACCACCACAUAGCAUACCGCCACUUCGCAGUGGGCUUCUUCUACCGUGGAAGCGCUAAGCUAGUGGAGGUAUGCGAGGCUGGCUGAGACUGCGACGGGCAACCCAGUGGCAUUCCACUCAUGGAAACGAGAUUCCGAGAUCAUGGCUGCGAAUGUCCCACAAGGAAAGUGGCCACGACGAAUCACAAGAGUCUUCGCCUAUUGCACGCCGCUGGAGCACUCCCCGCUGGCCAGCUCCGCCAGCACGAUGGUCGCGGCUGGAAGUGCCGUGCCCGGCCAUGAACGACCGGGCGUAUCGCCGGCUUUUUUUACGCCGGGAGCCGGGACAGGGUUGACAUUUGCAAAGCUGGGCACGACGGCGCCACAGGGGGCCUUGUCGCCUUUAGGAGUUGGCUAUGAGACUCGCAGCUCAUGGCCGCGAACACCGAAAAGGAAAGCGGCCGCGACAAAUGACCAAAGUCUGUGUGUAUUGCGUGCCACUCGAGCAGUUCCCGCUGGCCGACUCCGCCAGCACGAUGGCCACGGCAGCAAGUGCCGUGCCCAACCAUGAGCAGGCGUAUUGGCACUUCGCCGCCGGCUUCUUCUACGCUGGGAGCAUAGACCGCGUUGAGAUUUGCGAGGCCGGACGUGACGGUGCCACAGGGUAUCUGGUCGCCUUCAGGAGCUGGCGACGAGAUUCCCAGAUCAUGGCCGGCAAUGCCGACAAGGUGGUUGUCGGGGAGUACGAAAUCACUAAAGGCAACGUUAAUGCAGUCAUGGAAGAACUUAGAUUUAGGAAAGUAUAACGUGUUAACCAACAACUGUCAAGAUUUUGUUCAAAAACUGCUGGCAAAACUGAAAGUACCUUUCCCUGCCGAAUUAAUUACGGCGAAGAUCGUAACCAUGGAACUGUGCCUCAGCGUGGCAGUGCAAAGUGCUUCUAUAGGGUGGAGGUAGGGGACUACGUAAUUUCGAGAACAACAGUCAGCGAUGCCAUGGAAGAACUCACGAAUCUUGGAAAAUAUAGUAUAUUAACGAACAACUGCCAGGACUUCGUGCAGAAGCUCCUGGCGAAAUUGAAAGUUCCAUUUCCGGCCGAAUUGAUUACGGCCAAGAUCGCGACCGCGGAGUUGGGCCUGAGCGUGGCAGCACAAAGCGCUUCAUCACAUUUUUUCAAAUAAAAGUCUGCCAUGACCUCUUGGGCUCUGGCGUCGUCCUCGG